Molecule: transfer RNA, 61 nt
Filed under: Taiwania cryptomerioides
Lineage: Eukaryota; Viridiplantae; Streptophyta; Pinopsida; Cupressales; Cupressaceae
Also listed under: 1 other name
Description: partial tRNA-Pro
Source: RNAcentral
UAGGGAUGACAGGAUUUGAACCUGCGACAUUUUGUACCCAAAACAAACGCGCUACCAAGCU